RNAcentral lists this long non-coding RNA (355 nucleotides) under Homo sapiens (human). RNAcentral describes it as "non-protein coding lnc-COL11A1-2:1". The record is from RNAcentral. Lineage: Eukaryota; Metazoa; Chordata; Mammalia; Primates; Hominidae.
UCUCUCUCUCUCUCUCCCUCACUCUCUCUCUCUCUAUCUCUCUCCCUCAUUAUACUUUAAGUUCUAGGCUACAAGUGCAAAUCAAACAACCCCAUCAAAAAAUGGGCAAAGGAUAUGAACAGACACUUUUCAAAAGAAGACAUUUAUGCAGCCAACAGACACGUGAAAAAAUGCUCAUUAUCACUGUCAUCAGAGAAAUGCAAAUCGGUAGAAUUUGGGUGUGUAUCCAUCUGGUCUUCGGCUUUUUUUUUGUUUUUUGUGUUUUUUCUGGUUGGUAGUCUAUUUAUUACUAAAUCCAUGUGCAGCUUCUCUCAAAGGACAUAAUCUCAUUUUUUUUAUAGCUUUGGUGUAUAUG